Schistocerca gregaria is the source of this 3843-nucleotide RNA transcript. It is a transcript of the gene named queuine tRNA-ribosyltransferase-like, with no coding region annotated. The record is from RefSeq and is a predicted model, not a curated record. The transcript is spliced from 4 exons. Lineage: Eukaryota; Metazoa; Arthropoda; Insecta; Orthoptera; Acrididae.
UUUCAAUCCACUCAUUUUCGCACAUGAACGAACAAGGCUACCCUCUUCACGCAAGUGGGUACAAGCUCAUAUGCCCAAUUGGGAGCGGCGCGUUGAGCAGCCUCGUAUGGCAGGCCAUCAUUCCGUCCCGGGACAAUCAGGAAGUCGCCAUAAAAAUAGUUGAAUUAGAAGAGCACAGCAGGGAAAGGUUUGACAAUAUCAGGAAAGAAGUCCAAAUGUUGGGCCGGAGUCGCCACGAGAAUAUCGUAGAAUACUAUUGCUCGUUCGUCGAGGACACACGACUGUGGUUGGUCAUGAAGAGGUUGGCCGCUUCCUGUUUGGAUAUCUUGAAGGACCGAUACGUGAAUGGAAUCGAAGACGAACGGUUGAUCCGAAUCAUUCUCCGGGGUGCCCUUCAGGGUCUCGCCUAUUUACACUCUCACCAUCAGCUCCAUCGAGAUAUCAAAAGCGCCAACAUCCUGCUUUCCGAAAGCGGAGAGGUUCAGCUGGUCGACUUCGGCGUGUCGACCGCUCUUGACGAAUACCACCAAAAGCGUACUACGUUCGUAGGAACGGUCUGUUACAUGGCCCCCGAAGUUUUGGACCCCUCAGAAACUAACGGGUAUGACACCAAAGCCGAUUCUUGGAGUCUCGGCAUAACUGCCAUUGAACUUGCAUACGGCCGUCCUCCGUACGCCCUCAAUCAGCCCAUGAAAGUGAUCAUGUUGCUUAUGAAGCACCCGUCGCCUUCGCUUCUCGUGCCCGAACACGAAUUUAAAAAUUUGCAAAGGUCUACUCGAAACUUUUCCGCUGAGUUUCAGGACUUUGUUAACCAGUGUCUUCAAAAGGACCCCUCUCGACGCCCCACAGCCAAGCAGCUGUUGAAGCAUCCGUUUCUGGGCAAAGUCCAAGACCCAGACGCCGCCCAGGCGUAUCUUGCCAAGCAAUUACUUUUGUCGGAUUACAAAAAGCAUCGCUCUGCCGAACAAAGGUCGCGUCAAGAGAAUCGCUCCAGAAGGUCCGACCAUAUCCCGCCCCUUCGAAUUUCCUCAUUGGAAGAAGAAGAAGAGAUGGAGUGGGAUUUCGAGUGAGCGUCGCCGAACUGCUCUGUCGAAGCGUAUGUAUCCUCUGUAUACAAGGGCGUGCCUGCAUAUAGGCGUGUUUCUUUUGCUGUCGUCUACUUCGAGCGGGAGUUCUUUAUAUUUUGAGGUUACUGGCGCUCGAAGGGGCUCCACGUCGACGAGGGACGUCUGGGGCGUCCCUCAGGGAAUUCGGUACAACAAAAGAUGUGCUAAUAAUAGCAGCGAAAAUUGACAGUGCGUUGUGUGACGAGACGGACCUAUCAGAGAUGUCUAGAGGUUUUGUGGAAGGCAGGCGCGAAUGCUCGGAACGUGGAUCCCCUGCCUGCGGUUCGCGCGCGCCAGAGACUCUAGGCGUGCGAGAGGGAGAGAGGUGACGUGAGCAGAAGAGCGCCGAGCGCCGUUCGCAGAGGUGGGCGAUGAACUAUUGUAUACACGUGUGUGUGUGUGGCAGGGUGAGGUCAUUUUGUCGUUGACAGGCGCCAGAGGAAGGUGUCUCUUUCGCAAAUUUGGAGGUGAUGUGGAGCCUGCGUGCGCUGCGCGGGAGGAAGAAGCCGAGGUACGUGCGAGAGGUUGCGUAUGUACUAUGCGUACUAGAGGAGCUAAUAGCAGAGAGGGUUGAUGAGCAUCGGGUUGAGAGGGGUGUCGUCGUUCGGUUUUGACUAUGAGGUGUUGUACGAGUCCAGGAGGAGUAGGGCGAGGGUGGGCGUGAUAAGGACGUCUAAUGGGUUGAUAGAGACGCCUGCGUUUGUGCCGGUGGCGACGACGGGCGCGUUGAAGUGUGUGGAUUUGGCGUUGGCAUCGAGGGAGGUGUUGGAGAUGGGGAUGGUAUUUGUGAACACGUAUCAUUUGAUGGUGCAUCCUGGAGUGGACUUGGUGAAGAGAGCGGGUGGGUUGCACGCGUUCAUAGGGUACGACGGUCCAUUGAUUACAGAUUCCGGUGGGUAUCAAGUGUUUUCUAUGGCGUCGACUGGUCCUCAGGAUGAAUUAAAAGGGAAGUCGGUGAGUAAGUGGAGAAAUCCUUGUGCGGGGGGGGCAAAUAGAGGGUUGGUGUUAAAGAUAGACGAAGAGGGUGUUACGUUUCGGAGCUACAGAAAUGGAGAGCUCUUAGAAUUGACUCCAGAGAUCAGUGUGAAAGCGCAAAAAAGCAUUGGUGCCAAUAUUAUCUUGCCGUUGGAUAUUUUGUUGCCCAAUUCGGCGGAUUUUGAAACGCUUAUUGAUUGUUUUCACCGAACCCACCGAUGGGAAUCCCGGUCGCUAGAGGAGCAUUUGAAGGACCAGGGGCAUCAGGUGAUGUACGCUAUUAUUCACGGGGGUACGGACGUGCGUUUGAGAGAGGCGAGUUUAGAGUAUCUUUCUCGGCGCCCUUUUCAGGGGUUUGCUAUUGGCGGGAGUCUUGGAAAAAAUCGGCUGGAAAUGUACGAUUUGCUUUCGCAUUUAUGUCCCAAGAUACCCAGAUCGUUACCUGUACACCUUCUGGGGAUUGGAGACGUUCCUUCUAUACUGCGGGGCGUCGAACUUGGCAUUGACACGUUCGAUUCGGCCUAUCCUACUCGUGCUGGGCGACAUGGCAGUUGGCUCACUGCAGAUGGAUCUUUUGUCAAUUUGAAGGGACAGAGUUUUGCAGAGCGAGUUCAAAGUCCACCAGUUGAUUUGUGCGAUUGUCCCGUGUGUCGUUGUCACUCGGGUGCCUACGUUCACCAUCUGUACAAGGCGAAGGAGCCAGUCGCUUCGCAGCUCGGAUCGAUACACAAUCUCUACCGCAUGACGAGGCUCAUGAAGGAGAUCAGGGAAAGGAUACUGAGUGGCGCGAUGUAGGUUUUGGAGGGGCAUCUGGGCGGCGACCGCCUGUCGCAAAUGCGCGUGGGGUUUUUUUCGGAUUGCCAAGAAGGGAGAAAAGAGGAUUGCAGGUAGACGGAUCGUCGUGUGUUUUGCUUUUUUUUUUUAGUUCGCUCAGUUCGAAAAAUGUACAGUUUUGUUUUUUCUGCUGAGGGGCUACAGCGAUAUGAUAUACUGUUUUUACAUCUUCGACAGGAAGAAGAACUGCUUGUACUAUCGAGAGUGGCAGCGGGAGACCGUACCGCGAAAAACUCGCCGACAGGAGCAAGACUUGGUUUUUGGUUUUUUGAUGGCGCUAAAAAGCUUUGUUGAGAAGACGUCACCGGUGGCGUAUGCGGAGCGCGCGUGUGUGGAUAUGAGAGGUUGCGUUUUAGGGUUUUGACACUCUACAUUCUUGCCGCGUGAAACAGACAAAAUACGUUUUAUUCGUACACGACGACGACGUACAAGUUGCACUAUUUUGAGCCAGCGACGGGGCUGAAGUUCGCGAUGAUGACGGGUCCUGAGGUGCCGAACUUGCAGUUGGAGCUGUCGAAGAUUUACAAGGACAUUUACGUGGAGUACGUGAUGAAGAAUCCGGUGUACAAGGUGGGAGAGAAGAUAGACUGUUAUCGGUUCGUGGAGGAGCUAGAGAGCUACGUGAAGAGGCACUCCGCGUAUACCACGAGCAAGGGUGAUUGGGCGACGGGUGCGGAGUUGGGCGAGAGGUGAUGGACGGGUGGAGUGAGGGGGUGUGCGCUACACACAGGGCGUUGUGUGUGUGUGUGUGUGUGUGUUUUUUUUUUUCGGGGAAGAAGGGAGAGACAGUUGGCAUGCGGGGGGUUUUAUUUUUAGUAUAAGCGUUGCAUCCUCGAGGCGUUGGUGACGGUGCAGCAACCGCGUGAUGUGUUAGAGGGUUUUUUUUGGACGAGGUGCUUGAGAGAGGGUGUUGCGUCGCGCAGGAUGU